CAUUUGGGGGGUAGUUUAUGUUGCAAGAUGGCGGAGACAUUCUCACUUACAUGUACCACCUCUUUCUCCUGGACACGUUUCUUUGUUGUACAAAGCUUCUUUAAACACUUGGCAUACUUCGGGAUUUGCUUUAUGGCAUCAAGGAGGGAAAUGUUGACAUGCACCUUUCUAAAUGUCUCUAGAACAUCUUUUUCCUCUUCGUUCUUUGAUUACAAAAAUCUGCUAGGAAAGGGGAC
Molecule: long non-coding RNA, 236 nt
Filed under: Malus domestica (apple)
Lineage: Eukaryota; Viridiplantae; Streptophyta; Magnoliopsida; Rosales; Rosaceae
Description: long non-coding RNA (MDOM_LNC012744)
Source: RNAcentral